Molecule: long non-coding RNA, 2133 nt
Organism: Oncorhynchus masou masou (cherry salmon)
Lineage: Eukaryota; Metazoa; Chordata; Actinopteri; Salmoniformes; Salmonidae
Exons: 3
Source: RefSeq, a predicted model, not a curated record
UACAAGGUAGUGGUCGGAGACUUGGAGGGGAGUUGCAAUGAGGUUAGUGGAAGAACAGCAUCUAGUAAAGAUGAGGUCGAGCGUAUUGCCUGCCUUGUGAGUAGGGGGGGAAGGUGAGAGGGUGAGGUCAAAAGAGGAGAGGAGUGGAAAGGAGGCAGAGAGGAAUGAGUCAAAGGUAGACGUGGGGAGGUUAAAGUCGCCCAGGACUGUGAGAGGUGAGCCGUCCUCAGGAAAGGAGCUUAUCAAGGCAUCAAGCUCAUUGAUGAACUCUCCGAGGGAACCUGGAGGGCGAUAAAUGAUAAGGAUGUUAAGCUUGAAAGGGCUGGUAACUGUGACAGAGAGAAUGACCACUUGGGAGAGAUGAGGAUCCCGGUGCCACCACCCCGCUGACCAGAAGCUCUCGGGGUGUGCGAGAACACGUGGGCGGACGAAGAGAGAGCAGUAGGAGUAGCAGUGUUAUCUGUGGUGAUCCAUGUUUCCGUCAGUGCCAAGAAGUCGAGGGACUGGAGGGAGGCAUAGGCUGAGAUGAACUCUGCCUUGUUGGCCGCAGAUCGGCAGUUCCAGAGGCUACCGGAGACCUGGAACUCCACGUGGGUCGUGCGCGCUGGGACCACCAGAUUAGGGUGGCCGCGGCCACGCGGUGUGGAGCGUUUGUAUGGUCUGUGCAGAGAGGAGAGAACAGGGAUAGAUAGACACAUAGUUGACAGGCUACAGAAGAGGCUACGCUAAUGCAAAGGAGAUUGGAAUGACAAGUGGACUACACGUCUCGAAUGUUCAGAAAGUUAAGCUUACGUAGCAAGAAUCUUAUUGACUAAAAUGAUUGAAAUGAUACAGUACUGCUGGAGUAGGCUAGCUGGCAGUGGCUGCGUUGUUGACACUACACUAAUCAAGUCGUUCCGUUGAGUGUAAUAGUUUCUACAGUGCUGCUAUUCGGGGGCUAGCUGGCUAGCUAGCAGUGUUGAUUACGUUACGUUAAAAGAACGACAAUAGCUGGCUAGCUAACCUAGAAAAUCGCUCUAGACUACACAAUUGUCUAUGAUACAAAGACGGCUAUGUAGCUAGCUAGCUACGAUCAAACAAAUCAAACCGUUGUACUGUAAUGAAGGUAGGUGUAGGUGUGUGGAGAGAGGUAGGUAGGUAGGUGUGUGGAGAGAGGUAGGUAGGUGUAGGUGUGUGGAGAGAGGUAGGUAGGUGUAGGUGUGUGGAGAGAGGUAGGUAGGUGUAGGUGUGUGGAGAGAGGUAGGUAGGUGUAGGUGUGUGGAGAGGUAGGUAGGUGUAGGUGUGUGGAGAGAGGUAGGUAGGUGUAGGUGUGUGGAGAGAGGUGUGUAGGUGUGUGGAGAGAGGUGUGUAGGUGUGUGGAGAGAGGUGUGUAGGUGUGUGGAGAGAGGUGUGUAGGUGUGUGGAGAGAGGUAGGUAGGUGUAGGUGUGUGGAGAGAGGUAGGUAGGUGUAGGUGUGUGGAGAGAGGUAGGUAGGUAGGUAGGUGUGUGGAGAGAGGUAGGUAGGUGUGUGGAGAGAGGUAGGUGUGUGUGUAUGUGGAGAGAGGUAGGUAGGUAGAUGUGUGGAGAGGUAGGUAGGUAGGUAGGUGUGUGGAGAGAGGUAGGUAGGUGUGUGGAGAGAAGUAGGUAGAUGUGUGUGUGUGUGUGUGUGUGUGUGUGUGGAGUGGUUGGUAGGUAGGUAGUUUGGUGUGUGUGUGUGUGGAGAGGUGGGUAGGUGUGUGUGUGUGUGGAGAGGUGUGUGUGUGUGGACAGGUGGAGAGGUGUGGGUGUGUGGAGAGAGGUAGGUAGGUAGGUGUGUGGAGAGAGGUAGGUAGGUGUGUGGAGAGAGGUAGGUAGGUAGGUAGGUGUGUGUAUGUGGAGAGUGGUUGGUAGGUAGGUAGGUGGUGUGUGUGUGUGUGGAGAGGUGGGUAGGUGUGAGUGUGUGGAGAGGUGGGUAGGUGUGAGUGUGUGGAGAGGUGGGUAGGUGUGUGUGUGUGGAGAGGUGGGUAGGUGUGUGUGUGUGUGUGGAGAGGUGGGUAGGUGUGUGUGUGGAGAGGUGGGUAGGUGUGUGUGUGUGUGUGGAGAGGUGGGUAGGUGUGUGUGUGUGUGUGUGGAGAGGUGGGUAGGUGUGUGUGUGUGUGUGGAGAGGUGUGUGUG